GCCGUGAGGUGUUGCCUUAAGUGGCGCAACGAGCGCAACCCCUGUCCCAUGUUGCCAGCGAGUCAUGUCGGGGACUCAUGGGAGACUGCCGGUGCCAAACCGGAGGAAGGUGGGGAUGACGUCAGAUCAUCAUGGCCCUUAUGUCCUGGGCUGCACACAUGCUACAAUGCUUGCUACAAAGGGUAGCAAUCCCGCAAGGGGGAGCGAAUCCCAAAAAGGCAAGCUCAGUUCGGAUCGGGGUCUGCAACUCGACCCCGUGAAGCCGGAGUCGCUAGUAAUCGCAGAUCAGCAACGCUGCGGUGAAUACGUUCCCGGGCCUUGUACACACCGCCCGUCACGUCACGAAAGUCGGCAACACCCGAAGCCGGUGGCCCAACCCUUGUGGAGGGAGCCGUCGAAGGUGGGGCCGGCGAUUGGGACGAAGUCGUAACAAGGUAGCCGUACCGGAAGGUGCGGCUGGAUCACCUCCUUUCUAAGGAGCAUUUGGCAACGCCGGCUCGUCCGGUCAAAGCCACGGGUUCGGUAUCCGUGGUCGGGCGAACACCGGAGCUCCAGUCAAUCCACUGGCUACUCCAUCGGCCUACUCGAGGCUGUCCUCGUUCAGUACGCCCUCGCAAGAGGGAGUGGAAAGGCGAGGCCGGACGGAAGGCAAACCGAUGGGGCACACUGUUCAGUCCUGAGGGUGCGAGCCCUCGGACCUCGGACCUCCGCUCCCUCCCGGGGGCGCGUUCGCGGACGGACCUUGAGAACUCAAUAGCGAGCGCGAGCAUCUACAAGUCAAGUUAAUAAGGGCUUACGGUGGAUGCCUUGGCGCCAGGAGCCGACGAAGGACGCGUGAGGCUGCGAAAAGCUUCGGGGAGCCGCCAACAAGGCUUUGAUCCGGAGGUGU
Molecule: small RNA, 889 nt
Filed under: uncultured Micromonospora sp.
Lineage: Bacteria; Bacillati; Actinomycetota; Actinomycetes; Micromonosporales; Micromonosporaceae
Description: bacterial SSU rRNA
Rfam family: Bacterial small subunit ribosomal RNA (bases 1-472)
Source: RNAcentral